AUCGCUUCUCGGCCUUUUGGUUAAGAUCAAUUGUAGUAUCUGGUCUUAUCGAACGGAAACGAAAUUGAUCAGUCAAGAGGUGGCAGAUUUUAUGCGUGAUUUUAAUUGUGUUUUAUUCUUU
Molecule: small nuclear RNA, 121 nt
Organism: Electrophorus electricus (electric eel)
Lineage: Eukaryota; Metazoa; Chordata; Actinopteri; Gymnotiformes; Gymnotidae
Gene: U2
Rfam family: U2 spliceosomal RNA
About the family: U2 is a small nuclear RNA (snRNA) component of the spliceosome (involved in pre-mRNA splicing). Complementary binding between U2 snRNA (in an area lying towards the 5' end but 3' to hairpin I) and the branchpoint sequence (BPS) of the intron results the bulging out of an unpaired adenosine, on the BPS, which initiates a nucleophilic attack at the intronic 5' splice site, thus starting the first of two transesterification reactions that mediate splicing.
Source: Ensembl